AGAACAUUUCCAUGAAAAGUCAGUAGUAGAAAUAUAUGUAUAUGUGUGUGUGUGUGUGUGUGGGUGUGUGUGUAUAUAUAUAUAUAUAUAUAUAUAUAUAUAU
This 103-nucleotide microRNA precursor is filed under the name Poecilia formosa (Amazon molly). RNAcentral describes it as "miRNA (ENSPFOG00000021612.1)". Lineage: Eukaryota; Metazoa; Chordata; Actinopteri; Cyprinodontiformes; Poeciliidae. The record is from RNAcentral.